AUUGAACGCUGGCGGCAUGCUUUACACAUGCAAGUCGAACGGUAACAGGGAGCUUGCUCCGCUGACGAGUGGCGAACGGGUGAGUAAUAUAUCGGAACGUACCCAAGAGUGGGGGAUAACGUAGCGAAAGAUACGCUAAUACCGCAUACGAUCUACGGAUGAAAGCAGGGGACCUUCGGGCCUUGUGCUCCUGGAGCGGCCGAUAUCUGAUUAGCUAGUUGGUGAGGUAAAGGCUCACCAAGGCGACGAUCAGUAGCUGGUCUGAGAGGACGACCAGCCACACUGGAACUGAGACACGGUCCAGACUCCUACGGGAGGCAGCAGUGGGGAAUUUUGGACAAUGGGCGCAAGCCUGAUCCAGCAAUGCCGCGUGAGUGAAGAAGGCCUUCGGGUUGUAAAGCUCUUUUGUCAGGGAAGAAACGGGAUUGGCUAAUAUCCAGUCCUAAUGACGGUACCUGAAGAAUAAGCACCGGCUAACUACGUG
This 484-nucleotide ribosomal RNA is filed under the name uncultured bacterium. RNAcentral's name for it is "partial 16S ribosomal RNA". It matches the Rfam family "Bacterial small subunit ribosomal RNA", at positions 30 to 507 of the family's 1533-position model. The record is from RNAcentral.